AUUGAACGCUGGCGGCAUGCCUUACACAUGCAAGUCGAACGGUAACAGGUCUUCGGAUGCUGACGAGUGGCGAACGGGUGAGUAAUACAUCGGAACGUGCCUAGUAGUGGGGGAUAACUACUCGAAAGAGUGGCUAAUACCGCAUGAGAUCUACGGAUGAAAGCAGGGGAUCGCAAGACCUUGUGCUACUAGAGCGGCCGAUGGCAGAUUAGGUAGUUGGUGGGAUAAAAGCUUACCAAGCCGACGAUCUGUAGCUGGUCUGAGAGGACGAUCAGCCACACUGGGACUGAGACACGGCCCAGACUCCUACGGGAGUCAGCAGUGGGGAAUUUUGGACAAUGGGCGAAAGCCUGAUCCAGCAAUGCCGCGUGCAGGAUGAAGGCCUUCGGGUUGUAAGCUGCUUUUGUACGGAACGAAAAGCCCUGGGUUAAUACCCUGGGGUCAUGACGGUACCGUAAGAAUAAGCACCGGCUAACUACGUGCCAGCCGCCGCCGUAA
RNAcentral lists this ribosomal RNA (498 nucleotides) under uncultured bacterium. Its description in RNAcentral is "partial 16S ribosomal RNA". It matches the Rfam family "Bacterial small subunit ribosomal RNA", at positions 30 to 523 of the family's 1533-position model. The record is from RNAcentral.